CCGUGCAAAGGUAGCGUAAUCACUUGUCUUCUAAAUAAAGACCCUGUAUGAAUGGUUAAAUGAGGACAAACCUGUCUCUUAUAACUAAUCAGUGAAACUGAUCUGCCCGUACAAAAGCUGGCAUAAACACAUAAGACGAGAAGACCCUGCGGAGCUUAAAACAAACCGCUAAAGUGUACCACAGCGUAAUGUCUUAAGUUGGGGGGACUUCGGAACAAAAUAAAACUUCCGAGGAGAGAUCCACAACCUCUUACUAAGGCCAACAGGCCAAGGUACAACACUGACCCGGCCCACGCCGAAUCAACGAACCAAGUUACCCCAGGGAUAACAGCGCCAUCUUCUUCAAGAGUCCAGGUCGACAAGAAGGUUUACGACCUCGAUGUUGGAUCAGGACACCGUUGCGGUGCUCCCUCUCCCGACGGUGCAGCCGUUCAGCGACUAA
Molecule: ribosomal RNA, 442 nt
Filed under: Eutropis ashwamedhi (Ashwamedha skink)
Lineage: Eukaryota; Metazoa; Chordata; Lepidosauria; Squamata; Scincidae
Description: partial 16S ribosomal RNA
Rfam family: Bacterial large subunit ribosomal RNA
Source: RNAcentral